GGGGAGUGAGUCAGGGACAGUGGAUUGGGGGUUAGAGGGGAGGUAUGCCAGGUAGGAGUAAGAGAGGGAUGAGGGUAAGGGAGAUAGAGGAGAGAGAGUCAGGGACAGUGGAUGGAGGGUUAGAGGGGUGGUAUGCCAGGUAGGAGUGAGAGAGAGGAGAGAGAGUCAGGGACAGUGGAUGGAGGGUUAGAGGGGGAGGUAUGCCAGGUAGGAGUGAGAGGGGGAUGGGGUUUAAGGGAGAUAGAGGAGAGAGAGUCAGGGACAGUGGAUGGAGGGUUAGAGGGGGAGGUAUGCCAGGUAGGAGUGAGAGAGGGAUGAGGGUAAGGGAGAGAGAGAGAGAGAGAGUCAGGGACAGUGGAUGGAGGGUUAGAGGGGGAGGUAUGCCAGGUAGGAGUGAGAGAGGGAUGAGGGUAAGGGAGAGAGAGAGAGAGAGAGAAUCAGGGCAGGCAGGUCAGACAGGUAGUGGUGGAAUGUGACUCCCUGCAUGUAUUAUCAGGCUCAGGGCAGACAGAGCAGAAAGAAGAGCGACGUGUUGACAGAUCACUCCCUGUCUAUUGACACGUCCUUCCUACCCUGAGGCUCUAUAUGAUGAGACAGUCUCUCUGCCUAGUCUGCACCAUCACCAUGACAACCCAUAGAGGCAGUCAACAUCUCAGUGAUGUCAUUGUGUGGGUGGCUGUUGGGAAGGUUUGCAGCACAGG
This is a long non-coding RNA of Oncorhynchus tshawytscha (Chinook salmon), 701 nucleotides long. The record is from Ensembl. NCBI's taxonomy places the organism in Eukaryota, Metazoa, Chordata, Actinopteri, Salmoniformes, Salmonidae.